CCUGCGUUCGAUUAGCUAGUUGGUGGGGUAAAGGCCUACCAAGGCGAUGAUCGAUAGCUGGUUUGAGAGGAUGAUCAGCCACACUGGGACUGAGACACGGCCCAGACUCCUACGGGAGGCAGCAGUGGGGAAUAUUGGACAAUGGGGGCAACCCUGAUCCAGCAAUGCCGCGUGUGUGAAGAAGGUCUUCGGAUUGUAAAGCACUUUCGACGGGGACGAUGAUGACGGUACCCGUAGAAGAAGCCCCGGCUAACUUCGUGCCAGCAGCCGCGGUAAUACGAAGGGGGCUAGCGUUGCUCGGAAUGACUGGGCGUAAAGGGCGUGUAGGCGGUUUUGACAGUCAGAUGUGAAAUCCCCGGGCUUAACCUGGGAGCUGCAUUUGAGACGUUAAGACUAGAGUGUGAGAGAGGGUUGUGGAAUUCCCAGUGUAGAGGUGAAAUUCGUAGAUAUUGGGAAGAACACCGGUGGCGAAGGCGGCAA
Molecule: ribosomal RNA, 480 nt
Filed under: uncultured bacterium
Lineage: Bacteria
Description: bacterial SSU rRNA
Rfam family: Bacterial small subunit ribosomal RNA
Source: RNAcentral